AGUCCAAUUAGCAAAAAAAAAAUUAAAUCAAACUGAUCAGAAUGGGCCUGAAGUUCAAUGUUAAGCCCAGACAGGGGGGUGCUGGACUGGAAAGAGUGUGCAAAUGUCAAUUAUAUGGGCCUAAGCCCAAACUGGUCCAACACAAGAGAUUCAGAACCUCCCUCACGUGCCAAACCAUACACCGCUCCUUCAAAUGUUCCCUCCACAAUCCUGGCCGGCGAGCAAAGCCUCCGCCGCGCCGGAGCUCAUCGUCGGUGGAGGCGGAGCUCCAAACGUGAAAACCAACCAACCAAACGGUCGUCUCUACCUCACGGUCUCGAAUAUCCAAACCAAAAUUCUUAAUUCUAAACUCGCCGGCAGAAUCGCGAGCAAACACGCACGAACCCUAAGUUACCUCAACGACAAUUAAACUCGACACACUGACAAUCAAACACUAAUAGGUUAGGGUUUUGAUCUCCCUAACCUGAUACAAUGCCGUGGUAGGCGGAUCGAAGCCAGAGCAUAAGGAUUAGGUGUGUUACCUGUCGGAGAUGACGACGGAGACGGCGACAGCGAUAGUGUCGAGUACAGGUUGGGAUUGGCUUAUGCAGCUAUUGGAUGGUUUGAUUAUUUGGUGUUUUGGCGGUUUUGCAGCAGCUUAUCGGGUUUUAUGCAGGCCGCCAUCGCAGCAGUUUUCAUUGCCAUUCGAAUUGUCGGCGUAUGGUGUUGGCUUGUGUCGUCUUCGGCCCCAGCUGGUGCGUGCUCUGUUGUUUGGUUGCAGCCGAACAUAUGCAGGAACCAAUUCUGUCUUGGUGGAAUCAGGACCAACAGCUACGCCGAACUCACAGAGUUGAUUGAUAACCAUGUGACAAACGCGCCAUGACUUAUCUUGAGGAAAAUUGACUGUAACAAGAAGGACAUGUGCCACACAAUCUAGAAGCUCCAAUAGUUUCUAAGUGUUGCACAACCCUCAACAGCAAGAAGGCAAACAGAGUCCCGAUCUCCCUGUGUGAGAUCAUCGAACACAGACAUGAUGCCAGUUUCCAAGUGAGCAGCUUCAACAGUAGCAGCAUAUUUUCCCAGGUUGACCAUUUGUUUUGUUUCUCGUCUCUCCAUUCUCACCAUCCACAUCAGCAGUGAAACUAGUUGGACCUGUCUCAUUGAACAACCUGCCAUUAGGAGCAGUUCCUAUGUAUGAAACAUGCUGCUUUUUCCUGGAAGAUUUCCUAGAAUGGACUCUUGUGUCAAGUCCGGAAGGAUCAACACCAUUUUCUUGAACAUUUCUAUCUUUCAUGCCAUUUCCAUCAACUGAAUAUGCUGAUGUUGACUACCUUUCUCUCUUACUUCCAACAUUUGUUUGGGUUCGUGAUUGCUUGGCCUUAGGUGUAGCAUGGUUGGAAAUUCCAGCAGCAGCCUUCGUCACACCUGCAGUACCAUGGCCAUCUUUACUCUUUUGAACCUUACAAGAGGACUCGUCUCCAGCCAUAAGCAGCAACACUGGACUCCUCUCACUUUGGGCAAUGGAGACCUUGCCGUUACUACCUUUAGAGUUAUCCCUUUAUUGCUUUAAUCCCUUCAACCAAUGUAGAGAACACUCAUGCCACUUAUGGUUUCUUUGUUACUCUCUCAAGCCUAUGUCCCCUUGUGGCUUCCAAAAGAAUAGUUGUGAGAUUUAUUUCGAUUGAGACUGAGUACUUAAUACCUGUCAUUGGCUAAAUAUUGAUAUACUCUGUCUUUACACCUAUAUGAACUUCUCAAGUAGUCCUGUGACAUGCGCAACCCUGGAACUCCACUGGCAUCCAUAAAUCACAUUUUGCCUAGCAACAUUGUGAGAAAAAUCUCAAGCUUUGCGACACGACAUGACUCCGUUUAAUUUAAGCAAGGAACGUUCUUCUGUUGGUCUGCCAUUACUGAAUUCUCGCCGAUCAGCCCAACAAUGGAGGCUGCCAUAACUUGUGCAAGGUUGUUCAUCACAUUACCAACACUACUAGCAUUACCAUCUCGAAGUUGCAUGUUGUUGGAAGACUCAGAAAUAAUCAUAGAUCGAUGUUGGGUGAUUGUUAUGCGUCCGGAAGCUUGCGCACUGCUGCGGUUCUAUCGUCGUCGGCGUGUGCGUUUGGCCUUGGCAGCUUGUUUUAUUCUUUGGAUUACUGUAUUUGGAUUUGGAAGCUUCACAAAUAGCAGCUUUUUGGUUGCUUUGGCUUUGGAAUGAGGUUGGUUGAGGGGUUCCCUUCUUUGGCGUCUGGAGUUGAGGUUUGGAUGCGACUUUUUUGGGUCAUCAACUGAAAGCCGGUUAUUAAUAGAAUUUUCCAAUUCUUUCAACCUUACCUUCUUUUCCGUAAAAACUGACAUGGCCUGAGAAGCUUGAACAACUGUGGUUCGGGCUAUUCUUCUAGAAUUCUCAACAAUUUCAGCUAUAUGAUUUUGUGAUCUAGAUUCUUGGUUGUGGCGGUUCGUCGGCUUGGAGCUUGUUGCUGUGGUCUGGAUGCGUUUGUCUUUUGGCUUUGAAGAAGAAUGAACAGAGGGCUGGUUUUGGUUUACUUAGACUUUUUUGAUUUAAAAAAUUGGAUAUGACUUGGAUUAAAUUGGUGGUAAAUGGUUAAUUGGAUUUUUGGACUUUUAAGAAAAUUGAUAUGUACUUGGUUAUGGAUUUGGACAAUUCAAUGAAUUUGGAUAUUAGGACUUGGA
Lathyrus oleraceus (garden pea) is the source of this 2667-nucleotide long non-coding RNA. RefSeq lists it as uncharacterized. The record is from RefSeq and is a predicted model, not a curated record. The transcript has 4 exons. Lineage: Eukaryota; Viridiplantae; Streptophyta; Magnoliopsida; Fabales; Fabaceae.